AAUAGAUACCCCAGGUAGUCCACGCCGUAAACGAUGGAUGCUAGCUGUUAUGAGUAUCGACCCUUGUAGUAGCGAAGCUAACGCGUUAAGCAUCCCGCCUGUGGAGUACGAGCGCAAAGCUUAAAACAUAAAGGAAUUGACGGGGACCCGCACAAGCGGUGGAGCGUGUUGUUUAAUUCGAUGAUAAGCGAAGAACCUUACCAAGGCUUGACAUCCCUGGAAUUUCUCCGAAAGGAGAGAGUGCCUUCGGGAAUCAGGUGACAGGUGAUGCAUGGCCGUCGUCAGCUCGUGUCGUGAGAUGUUUGGUUAAGUCCAUCAACGAGCGCAACCCUUGUAAAUAGUUGAAUUUUUCUAUUUAGACUGCCUCGGUAACGGGGAGGAAGGAGGGGAUGAUGUCAGGUCAGUAUUUCCCUUACGCCUUGGGCUACAAACCACGCUACAAUGGCCGGUACAAAGGGCAGCCAACCCGCGAGGGGGAGCGAAAAUCCCAUCAAAACCCGGUCUCAGUUCGGAUAGCAGGCUGAAAUUCGCCUGCUUGAAGCCGG
RNAcentral lists this ribosomal RNA (545 nucleotides) under uncultured bacterium. RNAcentral describes it as "bacterial SSU rRNA". It matches the Rfam family "Bacterial small subunit ribosomal RNA", at positions 777 to 1329 of the family's 1533-position model. The record is from RNAcentral.